RNAcentral lists this ribosomal RNA (440 nucleotides) under uncultured bacterium. RNAcentral describes it as "partial 16S ribosomal RNA". It matches the Rfam family "Bacterial small subunit ribosomal RNA", at positions 338 to 795 of the family's 1533-position model. The record is from RNAcentral.
CCUACGGGAGGCAGCAGUAGGGAAUAUUGCUCAAUGGGGGAAACCCUGAAGCAGCAACGCCGCGUGGAGGAUGAAGGUUUUCGGAUUGUAAACUCCUUUUGUUAGAGAAGAUAAUAACGGUAUCUAACGAAUAAGCACCGGAUAACUCCGUGCCAGCAGCCGCGGUAAUCCGGAGGGUGCAAGCGUUAUUCGGAAUCACUGGGCGUAAAGGGCGCGUAGGCGGGAUAGCAAGUCAGAGGGGAAAGCCUAUGGCUUAACCAUAGAACUGCAUUUGAAACUGUUAUUCUAGAGUAUGGGAGAGGUAGGUGGAAUUCUUGGUGUAGGGGUAAAAACCGUAGAGAUCAAGAGGAAUACUCAUUGCGAAGGCGACCUGCUAGAACAUAACUGACGCUGAUGCGCGAAAGCGUGGGGAGCAAACAGGAUUAGAUACCCUGGUAGUC